GACGAACGCUGGCGGCGUGCUUAACACAUGCAAGUCGAGCGGAAAGGCCCUUUCGGGGGUACUCGAGCGGCGAACGGGUGAGUAACACGUGAGUAAUCUGCCCUUCACUUGGGGAUAACCUCCGGAAACGGUGGCUAAUACCCGAUACGACCAUUCCUCGCAUGAGGUGGUGGUGGAAAGUUUUUCGGUGGGGGAUGUGCUCGCGGCCUAUCAGCUUGUUGGUGGGGUAAUGGCCUACCAAGGCUUCGACAGGUAGCCGGCCUGAGAGGGUGACCGGCCACACUGGGACUGAGACACGGCCCAGACUCCUACGGGAGGCAGCAGUGGGGAAUAUUGGACAAUGGGCGGAAGCCUGAUCCAGCAACGCCGCGUGAGGGAUGACGGCCUUCGGGUUGUAAACCUCUUUCACCUGUGACGAAGCGAAAGUGACGGUAGCAGGAGAAGAAGCACCGGCCAACUACGUG
This 464-nucleotide ribosomal RNA is filed under the name uncultured bacterium. Its description in RNAcentral is "partial 16S ribosomal RNA". It matches the Rfam family "Bacterial small subunit ribosomal RNA", at positions 28 to 507 of the family's 1533-position model. The record is from RNAcentral.